This 431-nucleotide ribosomal RNA is filed under the name Tylosurus crocodilus (hound needlefish). RNAcentral describes it as "partial 12S ribosomal RNA". It matches the Rfam family "Bacterial small subunit ribosomal RNA", at positions 774 to 1407 of the family's 1533-position model. The record is from RNAcentral. Lineage: Eukaryota; Metazoa; Chordata; Actinopteri; Beloniformes; Belonidae.
GGGAUUAGAUACCCCACUAUGCACAGCCCUAAACUUUGAUAGAAACAUUACAUCCACUAUCCGCCAGGGUACUACGAGCUCUAGCUUAAAAUCCAAAGGACUUGGCGGUGCUUUAGACCCACCUAGAGGAGCCUGUUCUAGAACCGACAACCCCCGUUCAACCUCACCCUCCCUUGUCCAUUCCGCCUAUAUACCGCCGUCGUCAGCUUACCCCAUGAAGGAUUCAUAGUAAGCAGAACCAGUAUAACUUAAAACGCCAGGUCGAGGUGUAGCGCAUGAGAGGGGAAGAAAUGGGCUACAUUCCCUAAACCAGGGUAUACGGAAAAUACAAUGAAAUACGUAUUAGAAGGAGGAUUUAGCAGUAAGCAGAAAACAGAGUGUUCUACUGAAACUGGCCCUGAAGCGCGCACACACCGCCCGUNACCCCUUAA